GCACAGUGCUGUGAAAAGGAAGAAAACAACUCGAUUUCAUCGUUGUGAAUUUAACGUUCUUCCUUCCACCCAUGAUCAGUAAGUGGAACCAGACGUAAACAAUGGGCAACCAACUAACUGGGAUUGCUCCGUCUCAGAUUCUUCCAGUGGAGCAGUACCUGUCAGAUGUUCCUGACUAUGAAUUUGAGACUAACCAAGGAAGCACAAGGUUUUUCAAAGUGGCAAGGGCACGCUGCAAAGAGGGACUUGCAAUUGUUAAAGUUUUUGUUAUCCACGAUCCAUCACUACCCCUGUCAACCCAUAGGGAUAAGCUAGACGAAAUAAGUCAGCGUCUGAAAGGAACGUCAAACUGCCUUCCAUUUCAAAAAGCAAUUCAAUCUGAGAAAGCUGCAUUGCUUUUCCGACAGUAUGUUAAGGACAGUUUGUACGAUAGGAUCAGCACCCGGCCGUUCCUCAACAGUAUUGAGAAGAAGUGGAUUGCGUUCCAGAUGUUGUGUGCCCUUAAUCAGUGCCACAAAGUCAAGGUUUGCCAUGGAGAUAUUAAGUCUGAAAACAUCAUGAUCACUGGCUGGAACUGGGUGUUGAUCACAGACUUUGCCAGCUUCAAACCAACAUACUUACCAGAAGAUAAUCCAUCAGACUUCUCUUACUUCUUUGACACGUCCCGACGCCGGACAUGUUACAUUGCACCAGAGAGGUUUGUGGAGAGUGGCUUGAAGAACACUGACAAUGCUGGUCAAUCAGGGAACAUCGAUCUGACCUCAAGUGAGGUCAAGACUGGUGAUCUUAAUCCUGCCAUGGACAUAUUUUCACUCGGUUGUGUUAUCACGGAGCUGUUCACAGAGGGUACCUCACCAUUCGAUCUGUCCCAGUUGCUGGCAUACAGGAGUGGAGAGUACAGUCCCUGGAAGAUUCUUGAGAAGAUCGAAGACCCAAGCAUCAGAGAGUUAGUCCGUCACAUGAUGCAGAAGGAUCCGAACCAUCGACUCUCAGCGGAGGAGUAUUUGAUCAAGCAACGCGGAAAGGCCUUCCCUGAGUACUUCUACACAUACCUGAAGCUGUACCUGCAGAAGUUUGCUGUGUCUCCCAUUGUACCCGCUGAUGACAGGAUUCACUGUAUUUCAGUAUCAAUGACCUUUGCAUUGUUUCAUUAUCAGAAUGUCUCAAAGAGUCUGAAGAUAGAUGAUACGGACGUGGAGAGGAACAAUGCACUUGUCCUGCUUAUCUCCCUUGUUGGCUCCAGUUCACGGGAUAUACAUUUCUAUGAAUCACGGCUGACAGGACUGGAUUUACUGCUGCAAUUGUCCAAAUAUGUCAGUUCGGACAUCAUCCUGGAUAGAAUCAUACCAUAUAUGCUGCACUUUGCUAAUGACCCGUUUCCCCGUGUUCGUGCCAAGACCAUUGAGACAAUCACAGACUGUCUCUCAGACAUCAAGAAUGUCCCAAGGAGUGACUCCAAUGUCUUUCCAGAGUAUAUUUUCCCAAAUCUUACCCACCUGGUUCAUGAUGAAGUUGCUCUAGUGAGGGCAGCAUAUGCUGAAAACAUAGCACAUUUGGCAGAAACAGCUCUCAGAGUUUUGGAGAUGACCCAACUGCAAGAGCUGUCAGAGAUUGACAUACAGGAAGACUCUGAAGACUCCCAGUAUAUGCUGGAGUCAAGCUACGAUGUGGAGCUUCAGACGCUGCAGGAAACGAUACAACAGAAAGUGGUCACUCUGCUGAGUGACCCAGACAACCUGGUCAAGCAGACACUCCUGCAGUCAGGCAUCACUCGACUGUGUGUCUUCUUCGGCAGACAGAAAGCAAAUGAUGUCCUGCUUUCUCACAUGAUCACAUUUCUGAAUGACAAGUAUGACUGGAAACUACGAGGUUCAUUCUUUGAAAAUAUUGUGGGCGUGGCAGCCUAUGUGGGCUGGCAGAGUUCAUCUAUCCUGAAACCUUUGUUAGAACAGGGCCUGAGUGAUCCAGAAGAGUAUGUUGUCCACAAGGCGCUUGGGGCCAUAAAGUCUCUGUCAGAACUUGGUCUGCUACAGAAGCCCAUGCUGCAGGAGUUUGUUCAGGAGAUAGUCCCUUUCCUUGCUCACCCGGGCAUCUGGAUCCGGCAGGGUGCAGUCGGAUUUGUUGCUGCGGUGGCUCGGAUCAUGAACAUUGCGGACCUCCACUGUAACCUCCUCCCGCAGGUGGCCCCCUUCCUUAAACAACAGGUGCUCCAGCUGGAUAAGGGGCCUAUAGUGCUGAAUGCACUAGAUGAACCCAUCCCACGGACUGUGUUCGACUAUGUGUUGAGGUCGACAUCCAUCGAUGCCAUGUUUGAAACCCUCAACAACAGGAAGUACAUCCGGAGCAUCAGCAGAUCUGGACACAGACCCGGUUACCCCGAACUGGAGGAGAACCUGGCUCAGGUUUUCCGUAAGCUGACAUCACUGGGCAUGACUGAGACCCAUGAGACAAAACUUCUGGCCAUGAAAGAUUUCAUAACCAAACUGCAUCGAUCAAGAGCUGGGUCCAUGGAGAACUCCGCAUCCAGCAACAGUGAGGAGGGUCAGCGGGCGGGGGUGCUUGCCUUACAGCACGUCCCCUACACUGGCCGCUUCCUCACUCGCAGGCAUGCAGACCUACACAAGGCUAAGGAUCAAACCACGGAUGGACAGACUUCACCGGGAACGCGGCGCAAAAAGAAGGUUGUUCAUCAGGAUUCUUCUGCUGCUAUGAAUGCUGAAUGGAAGAAGAUGUUUGGUUCCUCGGAAUCAGAGAAGUCUCUCUCCUCGUCCCCAAAGUCUAAGUCAGGAGGGGACAAAUACGACCUUGACAAGCGGUCCACAUCAACACUGUCCAGCCAAUCAGCAUCCAGUAGUAUGGUGAACGUGUCCCAUGUCUCGUCCAGUGGGGAGGCAGGCCUGAAACGCUCCACUAGCCAGCAGCCGGCCGACAAGCAGUCCCACCAGACUCGAUAUGCGUCAUGUAAGUGGGAUCUCCGUGGCCUGGUCCACAAGCGACGAGAGCAGUACAAGGUGGAUGUCCUCACCAAGGACCUCCUCGAGGGCAUCGCCUGGGACAGCCGGCCGCCACCUGACAACUGGAAACCUCGAGGUCUGUUGGUAGCACAUCUCCAGGAACAUAGGGCUGCAAUCAACAGAAUCCAAGUGUGCCAUGAUCACAGCUACUUUGCCACCUGUUCCAAUGACGGCUCAGUGAAGCUAUGGGAGUGUUCCAGGCUGGAAGGGAAGAGUGUGGUCAAUCGGUCAAAACACACGCUCACCAAGCAAGGUGGUAGGAUAAAGUGUCUGACAUUCUGUGAGGCGUCACACGCCGUAGCCUCAGCUUCAGACAAUGGCACCAUACACGUCAACAAGAUAACAACGGAUAGAGUCCAGCCAGAGGAACAGAUCAAUGUGGACAUUGCCAAACAUGGUCAUGUGGUCGACCUUACUCACUUUGAUACAGGGGCUCAGUCAGUGUUAGCAUAUGCAACAGUGAAUGGCCACCUGAUUGGUUGGGACCUGCGAGCUAACCGGGCUGUGUGGGAGCUGAAGAACAACCCCCGUGAUGGCCUCAUCACCAGCUUUGCUGUGAACCACACCCAGUGUUGGCUGGCCCUGGGGACCAGCAGUGGAGCCCAGGUGUGCUGGGACAUGAGGUUCCAGCUGCCCAUCAACACCAUCACCCACCCUGCCAAUGCCCGUGUUCGGAAGCUGAUCAUGCAUCCCAAGGAUCAGCCAUGGAUUGUGUCAGCUUUCCAGUGGAACAACGAAGUAUCUAUGUGGGAUGUGGAGACUGGAGCCAGACAGAAGUCUUUGUGGGCCAGUGCAGCUCCCCCACUCUCCAUCUCACAGAACAACAAUCAUGCUGUGCAUGGGAUGCACAUCGCAGCCACAGACACCAAACUGUUCCUGUUGACGGGAGGCUCGGACAUGAGAGUGAGAUUCUGGGACCUGACAUACCCAGCCAACUCAUUUAUCAUGAGUCACGACUGAGCGGUAGACUUGCCCAAUGUCUCCUACAGCUACAGGUAGGAACAGUAGACUUGCCCAAUGUCUCCUACAGCUACAGGUAGGAAGAGUAGACUUGCCCAAUGUCUCCUACAGCUACAGGUAGGAACAGUAGACUUGCCCAAUGUCUCCUACAGCUACAGGUAGGAACAGUAGACUUGCCCAAUGUCUCCUACAGCUACAGGUCUCAGCUGAUAGACGGUACGGAGGUGAUUCAGGAAGUAUGUACAAAGAAACAAGCCAACUCGGAUGACAUUCCGAGACGUGUUCCUGAAGCUCCUCCCACCGGCCAUCACGACAUCAUCAGCGACGUCAACAUCUGUCAGUCAUCGCAGUGUCUCGUCAUCACAGGAUCGAGAGAUGGAGUCAUCAAAGUGUGGAAAUAAAUAUGUUUAUAUCAAGGCCAUUGUCCUUACCUCUUUCCAGGUUCCAAGACAUUUAUUCUAACAUCAAGGCCAUUGUCAGUAUCCCUUUCCAGGUUCUAAGACAUUAUUAGGGAUCAAGUCAGAAUGAGUUGGAUGAACUCUUUGGCACAAUUUGUUUCCUUUUUUCCUGGCCUGGCAAGAAGUCAAUUUUAUUAUCUACAAGAACCUGUUCAUUUAAUGUCUUAUUGUUGACAAUGAAACUAUUAGUGUAAAGUAAAUUAUUUUAUAGGACUUAAGUCUAUUUUUAUGAAGUGCUAAACUUGGAAAAUUCGACAACAAUGUAGCUGAAGUUUUGUAAGUCUACUUGCAAUAAUUCAUAAGGGUUGUGUCCAAUUAGUAUUGAUGAUGGUGAUUUGAUUUCCUGUAUAAUUGAUUGAAAGCAAGAAGAAAGAAUGGGAUUACUUUGUUAUUUGUAAAUCAAAUUAAUAAUAGUAAUUUUGCACUAUUUUUGAUCAACUGUUUAUGUGCUGACAGUAUAAUCAUUCCAGUUUGAUAUCCAAAUGUCCUCAUGUGGUUAAUUUAUGUACCUGAUGCAAGUGCAAUAUUGAAUUUCUGUUUUGUACAAAAUAUACAAACUUAAUAUUCAUAUGAACAAGACUGUGUCAUAUGAACAAGACCAGUAUGAAUGCUGUUGUAUUGUCCUUGGACCUGGGCCUAGAUUUUCGAAGCUCUCUUAACGCUAAGAUAGUCUUAAAUGCCAUACAUUAACAUUGACUUACGACUAUCUUAGCGCUAAGAGAGCUUCGAAAAUCAAAGCCCUGAUCCACAAAGUGAUCUUAGUACAAAGAUUCUGUAAGUUUAUGGGAGUUAAGAUCAUGUUAUGGCUAAGAUACCUUUGUGGAAGAGGACCCAGGAAUGUGUAGUUAUUGAUAAGAGAUUGGGCUGUGUUUGUGUGUAUUCCUGGGUAUGUAUUGUAACGAGAGAGAUGAUAUACCAGGUAAUCAUUACCUUAAAUUAUGUUUAUAUGUCAGUGAGAUUGAUAUGACAAUGUGUUUCCAAACCUGAAUGUUUAAUAUCAGGAUGGUUUAUUGGUCGGGAAACAGUUUUGUAAGUUUUGAGUUGUUAUGUAAAAAGUGUAUAUAUUAAAACAAACUGAAGUUAAA
This is an RNA transcript of Haliotis rubra (blacklip abalone), 5517 nucleotides long. It is a transcript of the gene named phosphoinositide 3-kinase regulatory subunit 4-like, with no coding region annotated. The transcript has 34 exons. The record is from RefSeq and is a predicted model, not a curated record. Lineage: Eukaryota; Metazoa; Mollusca; Gastropoda; Lepetellida; Haliotidae.